RNAcentral lists this long non-coding RNA (254 nucleotides) under Bos taurus (domestic cattle). RNAcentral's name for it is "long non-coding RNA NONBTAT019263". The record is from RNAcentral. Lineage: Eukaryota; Metazoa; Chordata; Mammalia; Artiodactyla; Bovidae.
CUACUAUUUUCAAGGAAUUUGGUUGGACCUGGGGCAAAGAGGAUAUAAAGCUAUGUAAGACUUCAUGAUUCUUACUUACAUUCUCAAUCUAUUCAUGAACAUCACACAACUUCACAAGUCAUUAUAAUAAAAGGUGGAAUAAACACAUUUCUUAAACUCCAUAACUACAAAGAUAACUGAGAUUUCAGUGGAGGAAGAAACAUCAUUAGUGAGAAUCAAGAAAGGCUUCAGUAUUAGGUGAGCUUUGAACUAUG